RNAcentral lists this ribosomal RNA (52 nucleotides) under Torrentaria fuegiana. RNAcentral's name for it is "partial 26S ribosomal RNA". Lineage: Eukaryota; Viridiplantae; Streptophyta; Bryopsida; Hypnales; Brachytheciaceae. RNAcentral also lists the same sequence under 1 other name. The record is from RNAcentral.
CAGACCUCUAAUCGGAAAAGACUACCCGCUGAGUUUAAGCAUAUCACUAAGC